AAAUCAAAUCAUGUAAUUUUUUUAUAGUCGAACAGACUAACUAACUCUAGCUUCUUCACCAAAAUGAAAAUUAAUUCAACAUCGAGGUCACAAACUUUAAUUAUUAAUAAGAACUUGUUAAUUAAAUUAUGCUGUUAUCCCUAGAGUAACUUAAUUUAUACUAAAUUUUAUAUUUAAAAAUUUAAAUCUUCAAAUGUUACCCCAACUAAAAAUUUAAUAAAAUAAAUUUUAAGCUUCUAGGGUCUUCUCGUCCCAAAAAUUAAUAAAAGCAUUUUUACUUUUAAUUUAAAUUCAAAAUAAUUUAAUAAAACUACCUUUUUAGUAUAAACCCUUCAU
This 336-nucleotide ribosomal RNA is filed under the name Acanthogonyleptes alticola. RNAcentral describes it as "partial large subunit ribosomal RNA". The record is from RNAcentral. Lineage: Eukaryota; Metazoa; Arthropoda; Arachnida; Opiliones; Gonyleptidae.